AUUCCGUUGGGCAUUGUGAAAGGUCAGGUUAGUUGCGAGCGAUCGACGCGAGUACUUUGAAGAUCACGUGUUCAGUGUGAAGUUACAUGUAUAUGAAUUGUUCGUGUUAGAUCUGAAUGCGCGUCCCUCUGUGUUUUGCGACAAGUACGUUCUCGAAAAGAAGAAUCCUGAAUCUGGAAACAAUCCAAUUGAAGUUAAUACCAUUGCAUGUAACAAGUCGACCGAGCGGUUUCACAGUAGUUCAACUCGGCGUAUAGCACGACGUACAAAGCCAGUCACCGUGUUUCAAACGCCGCAUAUCUUCGAGUGGCAUUUACGCAUUGGUUGUAUUUAUUCUCAAUUAGUGACGUCCUUGACCACGUUUUUGUGUAAACGUCCCACAAAGCGUCACGGCGUGGCUGUAGUAAUACACACGGACAAUACAAUUUAAAUAAACAUCGCUAAUCAGUUGGUGUAUCAGUGUAAUGUCGUGUAACGAAGUGUAAACAACAAGUUUGCGAAACAUCGACUGCCUUCGAUGAAUUUGUACACCGGUAACUGGAUUACAACGAAACAUGUUUGUGUUUCGUUGAAGAAAUUAAAUUAUCACGGGAGAAACUCAUCUACGAAUUAGUGAACCAUUCAACCCAUUGGUGAUUUCGACGGAUUGAAUACUCGUCGCUCCAGAGUUUACGUUGUAAACCGAAACAAUCGUUAGCAUUCAAGGGCACAAUAAUACGGGUCUCUCCCAGAUUCGAAUUUUCCGCCGACUGUUUCUACGCUGAUGUGCCGCUAUGGUAUAAAUUCCAGCGACUGUCUGCGAUGUUUGUCAGAGUGCGUAUUACUGUGGUCGCGAACAAGUGUGGAAGUGCUCUGACCCAAUCACCAGUUAUGGACUCCAAUACAAAUCCUCCGGAGUACGUGAUACUUACGAUCUUCAUUUUGACUUAAUUAACGGUUUAUGUCGUCAACAACAAUGCAGAAAGUCGCAUAAAAGUCACUAAUUUCGUCAAGUUUCGCCGCUUCUCCACCGAAAAAAAAAUGUAAAUUAAAUGAAAUACGUCGUGAACAUCGAAAAACCUAAGAACUUACCAACUUACCAACUUACCAACCUUGGCCGUUCGCCGCUUCUCAAGCGGGAUCGAGAAUCAUUGAGUUACUAUUUGGAGGUACAUACUUGAAUAAUACGAGCUGCGUCGUAAAAUAUGACGAACUGGUUUAGCAGUAUCAUUAGCGAAACGGAGUCGGAAAUGAAUCCUACAACGUUUUGGAUGCUUGCCGAGUCGGAUGAUCUCGGAGGAUUGGGUGGACUAUCGACCCUGAAAGACGUUCUUCGAGCUCGAAGAUGGACACGGUAAAUGGACACGG
RNAcentral lists this unclassified non-coding RNA (1347 nucleotides) under Bombus terrestris (buff-tailed bumblebee). RNAcentral describes it as "misc RNA ENSBTSG00005030154.1". The record is from RNAcentral. Lineage: Eukaryota; Metazoa; Arthropoda; Insecta; Hymenoptera; Apidae.